RNAcentral lists this ribosomal RNA (89 nucleotides) under Trichophyton interdigitale MR816. The record is from RNAcentral. Lineage: Eukaryota; Fungi; Ascomycota; Eurotiomycetes; Onygenales; Arthrodermataceae.
UUCCCGUCCGCUCAGCUGUACUUAAGCCACUUGCCGGUCGGUUAGUAGUUGGGUGGGUGACCACCAGCGAAUCCCGACUGUCGUAUGUU